UACGUGAGGGGCGAACGUUGUUCGGUGUCACUGGGCUUAAAGGGUGCGUAGGUGGUUGUGUAAGUCACGUGUGAAAUCCCGCGGCUUACCCGGGGAAUUGCAUGUUAUACUGCAUGACUUGAGGGCUAAAGGGGAAAAGGGAACUCCAGGUGUAGCGGUGAAAUGCGCAGAUAUCUGGGGGAAGGCCGGCGGCGAAGGCGCUUUUCUGGUUAGUACCUGACACUGAGGCACGAAAGCGUGGGGAGCAAACAGG
This 253-nucleotide ribosomal RNA is filed under the name uncultured bacterium. RNAcentral's name for it is "partial 16S ribosomal RNA". It matches the Rfam family "Bacterial small subunit ribosomal RNA", at positions 524 to 776 of the family's 1533-position model. The record is from RNAcentral.